Molecule: non-coding RNA, 465 nt
Organism: Phoenix dactylifera (date palm)
Lineage: Eukaryota; Viridiplantae; Streptophyta; Magnoliopsida; Arecales; Arecaceae
Source: RefSeq, a predicted model, not a curated record
CCCCCGACCGUCUUUCUUCUCACGGAGAAGGAGAGAGGGCGCUUCUCCGCCCUGCCACAGCGAAGAUAGAGUCCCUUCGCUUAUAAGCCAAACAACUCCUCCCCCCAACGCCCUCAUCAGAUCUCUCGCUCUCCUCUUCCAGAAGAUUGAUCUCCAUCUCUUCGAUGGAGAACGCCUACGCUAAAUCCAUCGCCGAGGUUCUUGAAGCAUUUGGUGUAGAUCCGGCCAAGGGCCUUACGGAUGCUCAGGUUGCUGAACAUGCGCAGAUAUACGGCAGAAACGUGCUGCCCCAAGAAGAAAGUACUCCCCUCUGGAAUUAAUUUUGAAGCAAUUCGAUGAUUUGCUUGUUAAAAUAUUGAUAGUAGCUGCCAUUGUUUCAUUCCUUUUGGCUCUGGUUAAUGGCGAGACAGGCCUAACAGCAUUUCUCGAACCUUCUGUAAGCGAAAUGAUUCUUCUAAAUUUUGC